This 472-nucleotide ribosomal RNA is filed under the name uncultured eukaryote. Its description in RNAcentral is "SSU rRNA". It matches the Rfam family "Eukaryotic small subunit ribosomal RNA", at positions 693 to 1163 of the family's 1831-position model. The record is from RNAcentral.
GCCAUCCUUCCGGGGCGCGCGCCUACCCUUCGCUGGGCCGGGCGCGCCACCCGGAUCGUUUACUUUGAAAAAAUUAGAGUGUUUAAAGCAGGCGUCGCCGCUCUGAAUACAUUAGCAUGGAAUAAUAGGAUAGGACUUGGGUUCUAUUUUGUUGGUUUCUAGGACCGAAGUAAUGAUUGAUAGGGACAGUUGGGGGUGCUGGUAUUCAGCGGCCAGAGGUGAAAUUCUUGGAUUCGCUGAAGACCAACUUAUGCGAAAGCAUUCACCAAGGAUGUCUUCUUUAAUCAAGAACGAAAGUUGGGGGAUCGAAGACGAUCAGAUACCGUCGUAGUCUCAACCAUAAACUAUGCCAACUAGGGAUGGGCGAACGUUGCUUUUCCGACUUCGUCCGCACCUUAUGAGAAAUCACAAGUGUUUGGGUUCCGGGGGGAGUAUGGUCGCAAGGCUGAAACUUAAAGGAAUUGACGGAAGG